This 253-nucleotide ribosomal RNA is filed under the name uncultured bacterium. RNAcentral describes it as "partial 16S ribosomal RNA". It matches the Rfam family "Bacterial small subunit ribosomal RNA", at positions 524 to 776 of the family's 1533-position model. The record is from RNAcentral.
UACAGAGGUCCCAAGCGUUGUUCGGAUUCACUGGGCGUAAAGGGUGCGUAGGCGGCUUGGUGGGUCUGGUGUGAAAGCCCCGGGCUCAGCCCGGGAAGGGCACUAGAAACUGCCGAGCUGGAGUGCCGGAGGGGAGAGUGGAAUUCCUGGUGUAGCGGUGAAAUGCGUAGAUAUCAGGAGGAAUACCGGUGGCGAAAGCGACUCUCUGGACGGCAACUGACGCUGAGGCACGAAAGCGUGGGGAGCAAACAGG